UACAGAGGGGGCAAGCGUUGUUCGGAAUUACUGGGCGUAAAGGGCGCGUAGGCGGCCCGCUAAGUCGAACGUGAAAUCCCUGGGCUCAACCCAGGAACUGCGUCCGAUACUGGCGGGCUUGAAUCCGGGAGAGGGAUGCGGAAUUCCAGGUGUAGCGGUGAAAUGCGUAGAUAUCUGGAGGAACACCGGUGGCGAAGGCGGCAUCCUGGACCGGUAUUGACGCUGAGGCGCGAAAGCCAGGGGAGCAAACGGG
This 253-nucleotide ribosomal RNA is filed under the name uncultured bacterium. RNAcentral describes it as "partial 16S ribosomal RNA". It matches the Rfam family "Bacterial small subunit ribosomal RNA", at positions 524 to 776 of the family's 1533-position model. The record is from RNAcentral.